This is a non-coding RNA of Bos taurus (domestic cattle), 72 nucleotides long. Lineage: Eukaryota; Metazoa; Chordata; Mammalia; Artiodactyla; Bovidae. The record is from Rfam.
UCCCUGCUAUCUCAGAUGGUAAAGAAUCUGCCUGCAAUGCAGCAGAUCUGGGUUUGAUUCCCAGAUCGGGAA